RNAcentral lists this ribosomal RNA (497 nucleotides) under uncultured bacterium. RNAcentral describes it as "partial 16S ribosomal RNA". It matches the Rfam family "Bacterial small subunit ribosomal RNA", at positions 28 to 507 of the family's 1533-position model. The record is from RNAcentral.
GAUGAACGCUGGCGGCGUGCCUAAUACAUGCAAGUCGAGCGAACAGAUGAGGAGCUUGCUCCUCUGACGUUAGCGGCGGACGGGUGAGUAACACGUGGAUAACCUACCUAUAAGACUGGGAUAACUUCGGGAAACCGGAGCUAAUACCGGAUAAUAUAUUGAACCGCAUGGUUCAAUAGUGAAAGACGGUUUUGCUGUCACUUAUAGAUGGAUCCGCGCCGCAUUAGCUAGUUGGUAAGGUAACGGCUUACCAAGGCAACGAUGCGUAGCCGACCUGAGAGGGUGAUCGGCCACACUGGAACUGAGACACGGUCCAGACGCCUACGGGAGGCAGCAGUAGGGAAUCUUCCGCAAUGGGCGAAAGCCUGACGGAGCAGCGCCGCGUGAGUGAUGAAGGUCUUCGGAUCGUAAAACUCUGUUAUUAGGGAAGAACAAAUGUGUAAGUAACUAUGCACGUCUUGACGGUACCUAAUCAGAAAGCCACGGCUAACUACGUG